GACGAACGCUGGCGGCGUGCUUAACACAUGCAAGUCGAACGGAAAGGCCCUGCUUUUGUGGGGUGCUCGAGUGGCGAACGGGUGAGUAACACGUGAGUAACCUGCCCUUGACUUUGGGAUAACUUCAGGAAACUGGGGCUAAUACCGGAUAGGAGCUCCUGCUGCAUGGUGGGGGUUGGAAAGUUUCGGCGGUUGGGGAUGGACUCGCGGCUUAUCAGCUUGUUGGUGGGGUAGUGGCUUACCAAGGCUUUGACGGGUAGCCGGCCUGAGAGGGUGACCGGCCACAUUGGGACUGAGGUACGGCCCAGACUCCUACGGGAGGCAGCAGUGGGGAAUAUUGCACAAUGGGCGGAAGCCUGAUGCAGAAACGCCGCGUGCGGGAUGACGGCCUUCGGGUUGUAAACCGCUUUCGCCUGUGACGAAGCGUGAGUGACGGUAAUGUGUAAAGAAGCACCGGCUAACUACGUG
Molecule: ribosomal RNA, 468 nt
Filed under: uncultured bacterium
Lineage: Bacteria
Description: partial 16S ribosomal RNA
Rfam family: Bacterial small subunit ribosomal RNA
Source: RNAcentral